RNAcentral lists this ribosomal RNA (369 nucleotides) under Africanema multipapillatum. RNAcentral describes it as "bacterial SSU rRNA". It matches the Rfam family "Eukaryotic small subunit ribosomal RNA", at positions 67 to 433 of the family's 1831-position model. The record is from RNAcentral. Lineage: Eukaryota; Metazoa; Nematoda; Enoplea; Enoplida; Trefusiidae.
GACUGUUCUUGUAUAUGAAUCCGCGAAUGGCUCAUUACAACAGCUAUCGUUUACUAGAUCUUACCCUGUUACUUGGAUAACUGUGGUAAUUCUAGAGCUAAUACGUGCAAAGCGCUUUCUCUUUGCGGAGAGAGUGAUUUUAUUAGACUAAAGCCAACCGAACCUAAGGGUUUGUUGGAUGGUGAUUCUGAAUAACUUGUCUGAUCGCACGGUCUCGCACCGGCGACGUAUCUUUCAAAUGUCUGCCUUAUCAACUUUAGAUGGUAGUUUCAGCGCCUACCAUGGUUGUAACGGGUAACGGAGAAUCAGGGUUCGACUCCGGAGAGGGCGCCUGAGAUACGGCGGCCACAUCCAAGGAAGGCAGCAGGC